This 482-nucleotide ribosomal RNA is filed under the name uncultured bacterium. RNAcentral's name for it is "partial 16S ribosomal RNA". It matches the Rfam family "Bacterial small subunit ribosomal RNA", at positions 30 to 507 of the family's 1533-position model. The record is from RNAcentral.
AUUGAACGCUGGCGGCAUGCUUUACACAUGCAAGCCGAACGGUAACAGGCCGCAAGGUGCUGACGAGUGGCGAACGGGUGAGUAAUGCAUCGGAACGUGCCCAGUCGUGGGGGAUAACUACUCGAAAGAGUAGCUAAUACCGCAUACGAUCUAUGGAUGAAAGCGGGGGACCGUAAGGCCUCGCGCGAUUGGAGCGGCCGAUGUCAGAUUAGGUAGUUGGUGGGGUAAAGGCUCACCAAGCCAACGAUCUGUAGCUGGUCUGAGAGGACGACCAGCCACACUGGGACUGAGACACGGCCCAGACUCCUACGGGAGGCAGCAGUGGGGAAUUUUGGACAAUGGGCGCAAGCCUGAUCCAGCAAUGCCGCGUGCAGGAAGAAGGCCUUCGGGUUGUAAACUGCUUUUGUACGGAACGAAACGGCUCUGGUUAAUACCCGGGGCUAAUGACGGUACCGUAAGAAUAAGCACCGGCUAACUACGUG